RNAcentral lists this ribosomal RNA (253 nucleotides) under uncultured bacterium. RNAcentral describes it as "partial 16S ribosomal RNA". It matches the Rfam family "Bacterial small subunit ribosomal RNA", at positions 524 to 776 of the family's 1533-position model. The record is from RNAcentral.
UACGAAGGGUGCAAGCGUUACUCGGAAUUACUGGGCGUAAAGCGUGCGUAGGUGGUUUUUUAAGUCCGUUGUGAAAGCCCCGGGCUUAACCUGGGAAUGGCAUUGGAAACUGGCUCGCUGGAGUGUGGCAGAGGGGGGUGGAAUUCCGCGUGUAGCAGUGAAAUGCGUAGAGAUGCGGAGGAACACCGAUGGCGAAGGCAGCCCCCUGGGCUAACACUGACGCUCAGGCACGAAAGCGUGGGGAGCAAACAGG